RNAcentral lists this ribosomal RNA (502 nucleotides) under uncultured Bellilinea sp. RNAcentral describes it as "bacterial SSU rRNA". It matches the Rfam family "Bacterial small subunit ribosomal RNA", at positions 8 to 520 of the family's 1533-position model. Lineage: Bacteria; Bacillati; Chloroflexota; Anaerolineae; Anaerolineales; Anaerolineaceae. The record is from RNAcentral.
AGAGUUUGAUCAUGGCUCAGGAUGAACGCUGGCGGCGUGCUAAAUACAUGCAAGUCGAACGAAGAGCCUUUGUAGCAAUACGAGGGUUUCUUAGUGGCGAACGGGUGCGUAACGCGUUGGUGACCUGCCCCAAAGUGUGGGAUAACAGUUCGAAAGGACUGCUAAUACCGCAUGUGAUCAUUGGUUCUAGAAUCCGAUGAUUAAAGCAGUAAUGCGCUUUGGGAGGGACCUGCGUCCCAUCAGCUAGUUGGUGAGGUAAUGGCCCACCAAGGCUACGACGGGUAGGGGACCUGAGAGGGUGGUCCCCCACACUGGCACUGAAACACGGGCCAGACACCUACGGGUGGCAGCAGUAGGGAAUAUUGGGCAAUGGGCGAAAGCCUGACCCAGCAACGCCGCGUGCACGAUGAAGGUCUUCGGAUCGUAAAGUGCUUUUCUGAGAGAUGAGAAAGGACAGUAUCUCAGGAAUAAGUCUCGGCUAACUACGUGCCAGCAGCCGCGA